Molecule: ribosomal RNA, 390 nt
Filed under: uncultured bacterium
Lineage: Bacteria
Description: bacterial SSU rRNA
Rfam family: Bacterial small subunit ribosomal RNA
Source: RNAcentral
GAUGAACGCUGGCGGCGUGCUUAACACAUGCAAGUCGAACGGUGAAAGAGGAGCUUGCUCCUCUGGAUCAGUGGCGAACGGGUGAGUAACACGUGAGUAACCUGCCCCAGACUCUGGGAUAAGCACUGGAAACGGUGUCUAAUACCGGAUACGAGCUUCAGCCGCAUGGCUAGGAGCUGGAAAGAAUUUCGGUCUGGGAUGGACUCGCGGCCUAUCAGCAGUUGGUGAGGUAACGGCCCACCAAGGCGACGACGGGUAGCCGGCCUGAGAGGGUGACCGGCCACACUGGGACUGAGACACGGCCCAGACUCCUACGGGAGGCAGCAGUGGGGAAUAUUGCACAAUGGGCGGAAGCCUGACGCAGCGACGCCGCGUGGGGGAUGACGGCCU